Molecule: long non-coding RNA, 741 nt
Organism: Vigna angularis (adzuki bean)
Lineage: Eukaryota; Viridiplantae; Streptophyta; Magnoliopsida; Fabales; Fabaceae
Exons: 2
Source: RefSeq, a predicted model, not a curated record
GGGAAUCUUUCAAGAUGCUGACUAGUCGUAAAGUAUUUUUUUUUAAUCUUUGAGUCUUUGAGUCUUUGAGUCUUUGAGCCAUGGGAAACCCUAACCCCCUGCCCCAGAGGAACGCUUCCUCUUCCGGUGUGUCUCCUUCGAGAGAACUUUCCUUCAAAAACUACAACAAAGAAGGGAAUCAAAAUUUCAAAGAUUCACAGAUUAAAAGCGAUUCAUGUUCAUGUGUUCUAAGAAGAAAUAAGUCUGGUAAAGUGGUUUUCAACGGUGGAGCUGGCCAAAUAUUCGAAAAUUCAAUUAUAAACGGCGUAAAAGUGAAAUCGGAGACCACAUCAUCUUCUGAAUCAAAGACCACAGGCGGUGAGAUCUAUUGCACAACUUGUAGAUCCUUCAUGAACCUUGGAACUGGAUCCCAGAAUUUCCAAGGUUUCGUGUUGAAUAACGGUUCAAACUAAGGUAACCUAACAGUGAGGUUUUGUUUGGUUUAAACAGUGGUGGGGGAGCAGGUCGCAAGAGGGCCAGAUUGGUACUGGCAAGCCAAUAAGAUGUGCUGUCUGUGUUUUGUGUUUGGUGUUUGUUUGUGUUAAGUUUUACAGUGGAGUUUAACGACCUAGGCCUCCCUCAUGGAUAUUUGUGUGUCUUGUUAUGCCUUUCCUUUUUAUCAACAACUCAUAUCUCCUACAACUUUUAUGCUCUAAAUAACACCAUGAGUGUUGGAAUGUGAUCUACUUCGAUUUCCUUUUA